UACGGGAGGCAGCAGUGGGGGAUAUUGCACAAUGGAGGAAACCCUGAUCCAGCGACGCCGCGUGAACGAAGAAGUAUCUCGGUAUGUAAAGUUCUAUCAGCAGGGAAGAUAAUGACGGUACCUGACUAAGAAGCACCGGCUAAAUACGUGCCAGCAGCCGCGGUAAU
Molecule: ribosomal RNA, 167 nt
Filed under: uncultured rumen bacterium
Lineage: Bacteria
Description: partial 16S ribosomal RNA
Rfam family: Bacterial small subunit ribosomal RNA
Source: RNAcentral